Molecule: ribosomal RNA, 164 nt
Filed under: uncultured bacterium
Lineage: Bacteria
Description: partial 16S ribosomal RNA
Rfam family: Bacterial small subunit ribosomal RNA
Source: RNAcentral
UAGGGAAGUUUUCGUUCAAUGGGCGCAAGCCUGAACGAGCAAUGCCGCGUGAACGAGGAAGGUCUUCGGAUCGUAAAGUUCUGUUGAAAGGGAAAAAGAGCGGAGAGAGGAAAUGGUCUCCGAUUGAUAUUACCCUUCGAGGAAGUCACGGCUAACUACGUGCC